UACGUAGGGUGCAAGCGUUGUCCGGAAUUAUUGGGCGUAAAGAGCUCGUAGGCGGUUUGUCGCGUCUGCUGUGAAAACCCGAGGCUCAACCUCGGGCCUGCAGUGGGUACGGGCAAACUAGAGUGCGGUAGGGGAGAAUGGAAUUCCUGGUGUAGCGGUGGAAUGCGCAGAUAUCAGGAGGAACACCGGUGGCGAAGGCGGGUCUCUGGGCCGACACUGACGCUGAGGAGCGAAAGCGUGGGGAGCGAACAGG
This 253-nucleotide ribosomal RNA is filed under the name uncultured bacterium. RNAcentral describes it as "partial 16S ribosomal RNA". It matches the Rfam family "Bacterial small subunit ribosomal RNA", at positions 524 to 776 of the family's 1533-position model. The record is from RNAcentral.